GGGGAAUAUUGCGCAAUGGGGGAAACCCUGACGCAGCAACGCCGCGUGGGUGAAGAAGGCCUUCGGGUCGUAAAGCCCUGUCAGCAGGAACGAAAUGGCAGGCGGUUAAUACCCGCCGGCCUUGACGGUACCUGCGGAGGAAGCACCGGCUAACUCCGUGCCAGCAGCCGCGGUAAUACGGAGGGUGCAAGCGUUGUUCGGAUUUACUGGGCGUAAAGCGCGUGUAGGCGGACCGUUAAGUCAGGUGUGAAAUCCCUGGGCUCAACCCGGGAACUGCACUUGAAACUGGCGGCCUUGAGUACGGGAGAGGGAAGCGGAAUUCCGAAUGUAGAGGUGAAAUUCGUAGAUAUUCGGAGGAACACCGGUGGCGAAGGCGGCUUCCUGGACCGAUACUGACGCUGAGACGCGAAAGCGUGGGUAGCAAAC
This 426-nucleotide ribosomal RNA is filed under the name uncultured bacterium. Its description in RNAcentral is "bacterial SSU rRNA". It matches the Rfam family "Bacterial small subunit ribosomal RNA", at positions 356 to 773 of the family's 1533-position model. The record is from RNAcentral.